AGGUAGCGCUUGCGGCGGGCCUAACACAUGCAAGUCUGACGAGUGGCGGACGGGUGAGUAAUGUCUGGGAAACUGCCCGAUGGAGGGGGAUAACUACUGGAAACGGUAGCUAAUACCGCAUACCAUCGGAUGUGCCCAGAUGGGAUUAGCUUGUAGGUGAGGUAACGGCUCACCUAGGCGACGAUCCCUAGCUGGUCUGAGAGGAUGACCAGCCACACUGGAACUGAGACACGGUCCAGACUCCUACGGGAGGCAGCAGUGGGGAAUAUUGCACAAUGGGCGCAAGCCUGAUGCAGCCAUGCCGCGUGUAUGAAGAAGGCCUUCGGGUUGUAAAGUACUUUCAGCGGGGAGGCGUUACCCGCAGAAGAAGCACCGGCUAACUCCGUGCCAGCAGCCGCGGUAAUAC
Molecule: ribosomal RNA, 406 nt
Filed under: uncultured bacterium
Lineage: Bacteria
Description: partial 16S ribosomal RNA
Rfam family: Bacterial small subunit ribosomal RNA
Source: RNAcentral